GCCACAUGAUGUAAAACAGAUGACAUUAGCACACUGUGCAAAGAUGACUUAACAUCUGCCACCUAAUACUGAUGGCU
Molecule: small nucleolar RNA, 77 nt
Organism: Hemicordylus capensis (graceful crag lizard)
Lineage: Eukaryota; Metazoa; Chordata; Lepidosauria; Squamata; Cordylidae
Product: small nucleolar RNA SNORD83
Exons: 1
Source: RefSeq, a predicted model, not a curated record